CUGCAAAACAGUGAUUUUCCGUGAUCGCUAUCACAUCAAUCGAUGAUAAAGCCGUUGACAAACUACUUUCUGCAGUUUUUGAAAUUUCAACAUUACCCAAAAGACCUAAAUGACGAGGCUGUUUAGAGUUGAAAUCCUGCACAAUUCGCCCUAUUUUACCCUCGUGCUUCCCAAAGCCUCAAGUUAAAUGAGCCAAACCCACUGACUCCGCGCUCAGGAGCCACUCGGACGCCCUGAGCCCCGCCCUGUGCCCCCUCGGCCGGGCCUGGAGCCCUCGGUCCCUGAGGACAAACCUGCACAUCCUCCUCAGGGGGCGCGCGGGGCGGCCACACCUUCGCUACUCAGAAGUAGCUCGGGUCAUUACGCAGCCAGAUAUGAGAGUCACACACUUAGUUUGUUAAUCCACCAAAGCACCAGCUCAGACAGCCACUUUCCCAGUUAGUUCACCUUAACUGCUCAUCCAGGGUUGGUCAGUUGACUGGAAGCUAGUUCUUGUCAGAACCAUUAUGUGACAGUUGCUUUAGAAUGCCCUUGGUUCUGAGGCAGUUAGAGAACCAAACAGACACUGGUCACUCAGGGUGGUCCAGUAACCGUCAGGAAGGCUCACAAGGAUGCCGAUGACAGUGUGAACUUGCUGGGGAAGGUUGAACACAAGUUUGAACAUCCCUUUUCUUUCUGAGGGGCUUUAAUUCAGGUGACCUCAAUAACAAGUGAAAAUGGUCUGCAUUCUGGAACACUCACAUACGGAAGAAGAAUCCAGAUGAACAGAAAGGACGAUGGCCCAGCAGCAGCUCAGUCUAUGCUUGUUGAUCAAUCACCUCCAUACACUCUAGUUCUGUAUCCACAUCAAGGAGGGCUCCCUGAGUGAUUCCUGAGCAACGCCACCAAUGACUGACAGUUACUCUGUGUCCCCCACACUCCCCAUGAGGGCCUGUUGGAGGAGCUUUCUCAUGAGAGGAUGGAGGAAGAGACCCCAUCUAACACCAAGGGAUCCCACAGUUUGAUCUUACACUGAGCCUGCAGAAUUUAUAUUCAGCUGUGCAGAUGUUUAAAAACUCCCCAGCCCUCCCACGUGACAGCACUAACAAGGGUACCAGGAAGAAACGCCAAGAGAGGAGCCUUGUGCCAACCUCACAAAGGCUUCAGGUUGACCUCAGCAGCUGUGAAGGGCCAAGCUCUGCUGUGAGCUGACUUUCUGAGGGUUCCUGGGAGGCUACUCCUGCCGAGCACUACAUGGGCCCGUGAACAGAGGGCGCGCCAUGGCAGGGCCCAUCCAGCAGUGGAAGGACCCCCUGCCUGCACCAACUUCCCUCACUGAAACCGUGGAACUCAAGAUGGAGGGCAGGGGAGGGGGGCAAAUGCAGAAUGUGGCAUUUAAACCUGAAAUGCGUGUGGAAUCCAGCAUUUGUAGAUUAAUUUGACUAGGUUAUCUUUUCUUUUUCAAGCAUGGAUAAAAACUUGAAAUAAAAAUGAAACAGCGCUCAUUGAAAAUGAAGAAAGUAAUAAAUUUGCAUACUUAGUUUUGUGGCAUUCACAAUCCACACCUAAUGCACCAGUGUUUCUAGUUGUGCUCCUUGCCACCGUGGGGUCCUGUGGGAGGCAGGAUAUGCCAGGCGAGUGGGGUGCUGGAAGACAUUUUUAAAAAUAAUAUUUUAAUUAACAAAAGUUGUGUAAUUUGUAAGAGUGUAAAAUGAACAUUUAACUCUCCUCUACCCUACAGAAACUCUGUGUGUACUGUAAACAUUUACUUGGGUGCUAUUCCAUAAAUUAUCAGCGCACAGUCAGGAAUCUAUGUAUCAUUAAGAAAUAACCCACUUGAGUAUUUGAUGAUAGAAUUGUUCACAUGGCUUUGUUCACUUAGCAAGGCAUCUUGCGCAGCUUCCCAAGUCCAUACAUUUGGGGAUUCUCACUGGGGUGUUUACUUCUGAAUUGAGACAAAACUGGAGAAAAAUCCAAAUGUCCAUCAACUGAUGAAAAAAUAAAAAGAGGUGGCCCAUCCACACAACGGAAUACUCCUCCUCAGUGGACAGGGACAAAUUAUUGAUAAAUGCUGCAACAUGGGUGAAUCUCAACAACAUAUGGCUGGUAAAGUAAACCAGACAAAAAAACUACAAAUGCAUGAUUUAAUUUAUAUUAAAAAUCCUUUAAAGGUAAAUUUACAGAAACAGAAAUGAGUUAAUGGUUGCCUGGAGCUGGAUGUGGAGCAUGAAUUGACUGCAAACAGGUACUCUCAAAACUAGUUGGGCUGAUGGAAAUGUUCUAAUGUUCAAUCAUGAUGAUAUGUAAUUUGUUAAUCUAUGAAAACACACAAAAUAAGUGAGGUUUAUAUCUUAUUAAAAUAUACCUCAGAAGAUACCUAGCAAUGUGUGAAGGGUUGGGAAUUAUGUGAAAUAAAUGUGACAUACUCAUAUGAGUUUAAGAAGGGUGAUGGACAAUAUAGGUUCACUACUUAAUUUCUCCUAUUUAGUACAUGUGAACUUUCCUGUAAUAGUAAUAAUAAAGGCUCUGCUGAGUGUGGUGUAGGAUGAAGAAAAUCCUUGGCUUAAUUUGCUCUAAAGUAAAUGACAAUUUAGUUGGAAGGAUGAGACAUAUGUAAAAAUAACUACAGGAACAGCUAGAGAAGCUGAAUGAAUGGUCUGUGAAAACAGAAAGGAGGGGAAAUGAGAAAAGGCUUCAUGGCGGAGAUAAAGUCUGGGCUGUGUCUUGGGAGAGGAUGGCUUUGAUGUCAGCCUGGGGGGAAGGUCCAUGUGGAAGGACAGAGUGAGGAAAUUUGAGGGCACCUAUGAAGCUGUGAAGUCAGUUUUACCUGGAUGUUGUGAUGCUUAAGAGUAAUAGUAGUGAGGUAAAUGAAUUCACUCAGCAGGGAUUUCUUGAACAUCUAUGAUGCCCAGGUAAUGACUUAGGGGCUAGAGAAAUAGCAGGGCAAAGAAACAACAAAAAUAUCUACCUCUUGUGUCCUGUAUUCUAAUUAGGGAAGACAAUGGUAAACAAAUGAACCAUCGAAUGUCACAAAACUUUAAGAAAAAAAUAAAUAUGGAAAUAAGAUCAGGAGUGGAGGAAUGAGCUUAAGAAAUCGGUUUUAUUUCCUGUGAAGGUGACACUUGCACAAGGCUUGGAAGGAGGUGAGGGCAUGAGCCAUGUUGAGAAUGAACUUCUGGAGGGUGGAGAGGAGGAAGAGAAGAAAGGGGACAAGUCAGGUGACUACGACGCUACUUCAGGCAAUGAUGAUGGAGGUUCAGAACCAGAGUGGUGGCAGUUGAAGCAGUGAGGAGUGUUCAGACACUGGACAGAUUUUAAAGUUAGAACUGACGGGGUUUGCUGACAGUGUGGAUGUGAGAAGUUAUGGAAAUUGGCAUCCAGGCUGACUCUGAGGUUGUUGUCCUGAUGGAAAAGAUAGAGUCACUAUGAACAGAAAUGGAAAGAAUAUAGGUGAGGUAGUAUUGGGCAUGAAGAUGAGAAAUUCUGCCUUGGUCAUGUUAAGAUAGAUGAUCUAUUAGACUACCCUGUGCAGACACUAAGUUAAGAAGAUUGCGAUCUAGGGUGGAGGUUGUGCUGGAGAUAGACACUUCGAAACUGUCAGUGCUUAGACUGCGUUUAAAGCCUUCAGACUGCCUGAUAGCACCACGGAGGUGCAAUGGAGAGGAGAGCCAAAGAUCCAGAGCAGCGCCCUGGGGCCCUCAAAUGUGAGGAGCUUAGAGAGAGAGGAGCCCCUGCAAAGGAGACAGACAGGGAGCAGCUAGUGAGGCAGGGGGACCAGGAGAGGGUGGUGCCCUGGAAGCCAGUGAAGAAGACUGACAAGAAGGAGAGAGUGAUCCACUGAUUGCACAAGAGGGGGGCUGGGACUUGACCACUGGGUUGAGGGACAGGAGGUCAUUGUGAGCUUUCCAAGGGCAGUUUCAGUGUAAUUUGGAAGAUAGAGCUUAAUUGGCCCAGGUUUAGGAGACAGUGAAUGAGCUGACUUAGAGACAAUGCACAUAGAUGGCUCUUUGGGGACUUUCAUUGUAAAUGGGCAAGAAGGAAUUGAGAUGAUGGAUGGAGAGUUUUUAAAGGGGAGUCUAGAGGAGGUUUUAUAAGAGGGAGAAAUAAAAACUUGACUGUGUGCUGAUGGAGCAACUUACUAGAAGGGGAAGAGUGAACAAUGGUUCUGCAUUAGGAAGAGGAGCCCCGUGUGCAGGUGAGGCCAUUGACGGACUGGUGUUCUCGAGUAAGUGGGAUAAAAUUUCACCCAUACUGUCUUAGAGUGAAAAUAUUUUUAGAAUAAAGUUGAUCAAAAGAACAAAAGUGUAUUCUAAAUAUUAGGAAAGUUGAAAACAAAGGAUAACAUUUAUUGGAAAUGCCUCAUUUAAUGGGAUGGAUGGUGAUGGCAUUAACUGUGAACAGAUUAAAAGAAUUAUCAAAGUUUGACUCUCUGGGGUGCCCCAGGAUGUCUGUAAGACUAUCCACACCUGUGUGACCCUUUGAAAGUAGAAUAGAGUGUGGACACCACUUGGACAUAGGAAGAAAAGUUCAUGUGUUUCCAGGGAAAUCAACUACUAGCCUAAAGAGAGGGCCAUAAAAAUUGGCAUCUUACCAAACAAUAGGGUACAUUCUACAAAUAACUGAAUAGAAGUAUUGUGGAAAUUUAAUUAUUAACUGGUUUCAAGAAUAAUGAUUUUAGUUUAUUCCAUGUCCCAAAUUUAAGAUAAAAUCCUAAAACUGAUAAGCCAUAUGCUUUGUUAUUCAUUCAUACAAAUUUUAACUUACUAAGUUAACCAGCAAUGCUACAAACACAUCAGUAAAGAUGCAUUUAGAAGUCAAGCAUGGUUCACAUUUAAUAGUAAACAAUGUCUCAAGCUAAUAUGUGGACAUUAGUUGAUUGUUGAAUGUGAGCUAAAAUUAUUUCCGUAAAACAGCAUUGCCAGGUUAUUUUUUUUAAUUAGUAGACUUUAUCAUUUACAACAGAUUUAGAUUAACAUAAAAAAAGGGCAGAGAAUAGAGUAACUUCUCAUACCCACCCUCCCACCCUAUGCACCCUGCUAUGAACCUCUUAUAUUAGGGUGACAUAUUUGUUACAAUUAAUGAGCCAAUAUUGAUAUGUAAUUAUCAACUAAAAUCCAAGUUUAGAAUAAGGGUUGCUACAGGAUUUGCUAAUGCAUAAUGUCAUAUAGCACCAUGACAGUAUCAUACUGCAUUGUUUCAUUGCUCUAAACAUCCCCUAUUCUUCACCUGUUCUUCUCUCUCGCUUUCUGAACCCCUGGAAACCCCUGAACUCUUUACUCUCUCUAUAGUUUGCCUUUUCCAGAAUGUUAUAUAGUUGUAACAUUGAGUGUGUAGCUUUUGCAGACUGAAUCUUCUUCUCAGCAAUAUGCAUUUAAAGUUCCUUCAUAUUUUCAUAGUUUGAUAACUAAUUCAGUUUUUAUCACUGAGUAGAACGGAUACAAAGAAAGUUUGUAUCAGGAGCUCAGCUGACCUGGGAGAGAGAGGGGAGCUGUCAGGUGUCACAGCAGCCAGUUAAAACAACAGGACGAAAUCAAAGAGUUAAGCCUCUAACCACUUACUGUGACGGUACAAGGAAGAGGCUAAAACUGCAGCAAGUGCCCCUUCCCCCUUCCAUUUUCCCCGUGGAAUGUCGCCCCAUUCAGGGGUCAGGUGGGUCAGUGCAGAUCUGAGCUGUCUCUCUGCAGAGGAGUCCCUAACAAAAGGCCUGGCAGUUUUAUGGACCCUGGGGUCAGGGGAGGGCGAGAGAGAAGGACUGGGAGUGGGCAGGUGCUGGGUACUGACUCAGAGAGCGCGGACAGUGUCUGCAGGCUUCCCUCUCCUCCCCCAUGAGGCGGCCUUGCAGAGGAGCCUGAAGAGAACCACGGCCCAAGGCCUUGAUAAAGAGACCCGGGAGUGAAGGUGCCUGGGCCAGGAACGCAGAUGUGUGAAGAGCAGAACUGGCCAGAGGAGCCUGAGCGCUUGACUGCAGCUCCCUUCAGAGAAUGCAGGGCUCAGGCCAGGCACUCAGGCUGCGGUGUGGGGACAGAACCCCUCAGGGGACCCUACCGGAAAGGCUUUGUAUUUGCCCAUGGGGGAUACUGAGAAAUCACACAUGGGUUUUUAACCAGUAGCCAGACUCCUCAGUUUCUUUCUCAUUCAUCUUUUGAAGGGAUCUUGGUUAUUUCCAGUUUUUGAUGAUUUUGAUAAAGCUGCUGUGAACAUUCAUGGAAAUGUCCCUCUAUUCACUACUUUCACCGCAUCCCAUGAAUUUUGAAAAGUGAUAUUUUUAUUUCAUCUAGUUAAAACUAUUUUGAAAUUUCUAUUUAGACCUCUUCUUUAAUGUCUUCUGUGGAAGCACGUUGUUUAAUCCUCAACUAUUUGGGGACAUUUAACAAACCAUGUCCAUGUACCCAUCCUCUUGUCCAGUGAAGCAGAGCUCCCUAACUGAUUCAAGAGCAGCAUCACAAUGCCUGACAGCCACUCUGCAUCCUCCAGCCUCCCAGGAGGACCCUUUGGAGGAGCUUCCUGGUGGCAGGAGAGAUGGAGAGGCCUUAUCUAAUAUCAAUGUAAUAUCGUGUUCCAUUGCCUGAAAUAGACACUUUGCUUUCUUCGUUUCCCUCUUUAUUGAUUAAGUUCAGAUGUGAAGAGGUAACAGUGUGCAAUAUAGACAUUAACACUGUCUUCUGGGGGGGUGGAAGAGGAGGUCCUUCCCUCUGGCAUCUGAUUCAAGAGGGCGUCUACAAUGGCAGCACCAGCUUGGCAGCUGUACGUGGGCCCUUUCCUCAGAAGCUGGGUUUCCUCCUGAGAUCGAGAAUUCUGUAGUUACUAACCUAAAGGACUAGAGAGCUGUGUGGUCCAGGAGAAGCUCAUGCAUUUACCACAGUGCAUGCUAAGCUUGCUCUGAGGGCCUUGACUUGACUCCUGUUUCUAUGUGCUUUGCAAUAGUCACCAAGAGAACGACAGCAACAAAAUAUAUCAGCAAACGGCCCUCCCCCUGGUCUGCUCCUCACAGCGCUCUCAGGUAGUUGAGGCCAUCUCAAGAGCAAGAGGAAAGGGUGCACAUUCUGAACCACCUCACUUGCUGAGGAAGAUACUUAGAGGAUAAGACAGGAGGGCAUCCUGGCUGCUUCCUGUCUCCAGAUCCAACAUGAUUCCAGGGUCCUGAUGGGAGUGAGAACUGGGGUUUUCAUGGAAAAAACUGAUUUUCCAGAUUAGAAAAAAACAUGGCCAUGUUUGUACAGUACCUGGAAGUAACUGUGCUCCCUUUAGGCAGUGCGGGGCUGUGUGCAUGAGGGUUGGGGGUCUUGUGUUGUUCUAUGUGAAUGUGUGUCUGUGAGUUGUGUUGGGGAUUCUUUGUGUUAACCAGGAGUUAUUUCCCACUUCCACAACACAGAUGUCAUUGUCGAUCUUCUCCAAUAGUUUCCAUCAUGACUGCACACGUUAUAUACAUUAACUCAAUAACUCGCACCCAGCUUCUCCUGGAGUUUUGUUAUUUUUCUUAUCAGAUGGAGAUACCUAAGUGCCUAUAUUAAUGGCCCAAACUCUCAAGUUUCUAAGUGGAAGAGCCAACAUGUGGACCAGGUGUGUGUCCCCAGUUCUAGUGCUCUGAACUGCUGAUCUGCGUGUGUCACUCAGACAUGGGAUCUUUACUCUCUGUGCCAGGGUCGAGAAUGUGGGAGGACAAGCCACACUCCCUGCACUUUACACGGAGCAGGAUGAUCAUGACCUCCAGGGAGCCCAGCGAGAUGGUGCAGGGGAUCCAUCAGGCGCUGGACAGAAACAGCUCUGGGUGGGAGCCGUGCAAGAAGUACAUGAGCCGAGUGUGCACAGCACACCCAUGUGAGAGGACUUCUUGUGGUGGAGGAUGGAGAUGAGCAAGCUGAGGGUGUGUUCAUUCACCAGGGUUCAAAUGAAGAGGCUGACUGCCAGCUCCACGGCCUUCAAAAGCAUUGGGUCCCACAUACCCAUUGAGCUUUAAGGACUGCCAGGAACAGCCUGGGAGACGAGAGGAGAAGCUGCUGCCCUAGCUGCUGGCUGACCCAGCCACCUCCACCUGGUGAAACUUCAGAGACUGGACCGCUUCUCCUGGCACUUCUUCCCUCCCCCACUCUUCUACAUCUUUCCUCCAUAUUUGUGGGGGGAGGGGAGGUGAUUACUGUAAAUUACUGAACUUGGUUCUUCCAAACCUUACAGUAAUAUUGAUGCUCCAGAAAUAUGUAUCACAGAUAUUCUGCUGUUUUGCAUCCUACUUGCACACUCCGGGAUUAUGAAGCUGUGCAUGCUCCAGUUUGAAAAGUGUGUAGUAAUGUAGUACUGGGAGUUAAUCAGUAAUUCUAAAUAGAAAAAUGACUUUGGAAAAUUAUCAGAGUCAACCCAAAUAGCAACAAAUAAUUAAAAGCAGUUCCAAAUGAAUAAAGCUCUGAUAUGUGCUGUGUAGCAGACAUGUAGAAAUUGCUUGACCUUCAUACACUGACUAACAUUACCUCACAUUUCAGGAAGACCAAUGGGACUUUUUUGUUGGCCUGUGUUAACUAGG
Long non-coding RNA from Equus asinus (donkey), 8494 nucleotides. The record is from Ensembl. NCBI's taxonomy places the organism in Eukaryota, Metazoa, Chordata, Mammalia, Perissodactyla, Equidae.